Molecule: ribosomal RNA, 404 nt
Filed under: Actinomycetes bacterium
Lineage: Bacteria; Bacillati; Actinomycetota; Actinomycetes
Also listed under: 1 other name
Description: Actinobacteria bacterium partial 16S ribosomal RNA
Rfam family: Bacterial small subunit ribosomal RNA
Source: RNAcentral
UGGGGAAUAUUGGACAAUGGGCGCAAGCCUGAUCCAGCCAUGCCGCGUGAGUGAUGAAGGCCCUAGGGUUGUAAAGCUCUUUCACCGGUGAAGAUAAUGACGGUAACCGGAGAAGAAGCCCCGGCUAACUUCGUGCCAGCAGCCGCGGUAAUACGAAGGGGGCUAGCGUUGUUCGGAUUUACUGGGCGUAAAGCGCACGUAGGCGGACUUUUAAGUCAGGGGUGAAAUCCCGGGGCUCAACCCCGGAACUGCCUUUGAUACUGGAAGUCUUGAGUAUGGUAGAGGUGAGUGGAAUUCCGAGUGUAGAGGUGAAAUUCGUAGAUAUUCGGAGGAACACCAGUGGCGAAGGCGGCUCACUGGACCAUCACUGACGCUGAGGUGCGAAAGCGUGGGGAGCAAACAGG